RNAcentral lists this ribosomal RNA (446 nucleotides) under uncultured bacterium. RNAcentral describes it as "partial 16S ribosomal RNA". It matches the Rfam family "Bacterial small subunit ribosomal RNA", at positions 338 to 795 of the family's 1533-position model. The record is from RNAcentral.
CCUACGGGUGGCAGCAGUCAAGAAUCAUUCACAAUGGGGGAAACCCUGAUGGGGCGACGCCGCGUGGGGGAAUGAAGGUCUGCGGAUUGUAAACCCCUGUCAUGUGGGAGCAAAUUAAAAAGAUAGUACCACAAGAGGAAGAGACGGCUAACUCUGUGCCAGCAGCCGCGGUAAUACAGAGGUCUCAAGCGUUGUUCGGAAUCACUGGGCGUAAAGCGUGCGUAGGCUGUUUCGUAAGUCGUGUGUGAAAGGCGCGGGCUCAACCCGCGGACGGCCCAUGAUACUGCGAGACUAGAGUAAUGGAGGGGGAACCGGAAUUCUCGGUGUAGCAGUGAAAUGCGUAGAUAUCGAGAGGAACACUCGUGGCGAAGGCGGGUUCCUGGACAUUAACUGACGCUGAGGCACGAAGGCCAGGGGAGCGAAAAGGAUUAGAUACCCCAGUAGUC